AAAACCUCCUCCUCCCCUCCUCUCCCCCACCACGAGACCUCGCAUCGAAUCCUUCCUACCCUAGCCAAAUCAUCGCCGCCGGCAUGAGCACCGCUCCCACCGGCGAUCCGCCGGUCCGCGUCGCCGUCGCUAGCGGCGGUGGCGGGAUGGGGUUGGGGAAGGAGCUGCGGGAGCCGCCGUCGGACGGCGUCUCCAGCCUCCGGUUCUCCAAGCACAGCGAUCGCCUGCUCGUCUCCUCCUGGGACAAGACGGUGCGGCUCUACGACGCGGAGGCCAAUGUGCCCAGGGGGGUGUUCAUGCACGCGGCGUCCGUCCUGGGUUGCUGCUUUCACGACGACUCCUCGGGGUUCAGUGCCAGCGCCGACAACACCGUGCGGAGGUUGGCCUUCAGUUCUGGUGGGAAUUAUUUCUUGGUACGCCAUGAUGCCGCAGUUAGUUGUGUCGAGUACUCCUACUCUACUGGACAAGUUAUCACUGGCAGCUGGGAUAAGACUAUAAUGUGCUGGGAUCCAAGAGGUGUCAAUGGGACAAGUCAUCAUACACUUGUUGGGACACAUAACCAACCUGAACGUGUGUACUCACUUUCAGUAUCAGGAUAUAACUUGGUUGUCGCAACAGCAGGAAGGCAUGUGAAUGUUUAUGAUUUGCGCAGUAUGUCUAGGCCUGAGCAACAGAGGGAGUCUCCACUAAGGUAUCAAACACGGUGUGUUCAAUGCUAUCCGAAUGGAACUGGAUUUGCUUUGGGUUCUGUGGAAGGACGAGUUGCUAUGGAGUUCUACGAUCAAUCUGAAUCUGCUCCCUAUAAGAAGUAUAGUUUCAAGUGUCAUCGAGUGCCUGAGGAUGGAGAGACCAAAGUCUAUCCUGUCAACGCAAUUUCCUUCCACCCAGUACACGGCACAUUUGCCACUGGUGGAUGUGAUAGAUUUGUGAACCUUUGGGAUGGCGCUAACAGAAGGAAACUGUUUCAAUUUCCCAGAUACCCAUCCAGCAUCGCUGCUCUGUCUUUCAGUAGGGAUGGCCGUCUGCUUGCUGUUGCAUCCAGUUACACUUACGAGGAGGGAGACAUACCCCAUCCGCCUGACGCAAUCUUUAUCCGUGAUGUCAACGAAGUACAAGUAAAGCCCAGGCCCAAGAUCACAUUCACUGAUCCGCCAUCAGUAGCGUCCCCAUCAGUUUGAGAUGAAGCAAUGCUAGUGAGGUUGGCCAGCAGUUCUGGUGGAAAUAAUAUAAUGGGGCCCCAUGAUUCCCCAGCUCGCUGUGUCGAAUACUCCUACAGUCCUACAUGCAGAUACGGCACAUUUGCAACUGGUGGAUGUGACAGUUUUAUGGCCUUUGGGAUGGCGCUAGCAAAAGCAAGGAUGGCCAUCUGCUUCGCUGUCGCAUCCAGGUGCACGUUCGAUAAGCCGCAUAAGCCUGACGCAAUCUUUAUCUGUAAUGUCAACUAAAUGGAAGUAAACCAGAGGACGAAGACAUUAGCGGAUCCCUAUCAGCCUGAGAUGUCAGUGAGGUGCGUUUCUUCCCCUCAAUUUGCCUGUUUAUUGUUCGUUGGUUCUGACACUUUACGAAAGUUCUUAGCGUUAUGCUCAAACUAUGGAUUCUAUUAAUUGACAGAAACACAUUCAGUAGUAUAUCUGCAUUAGAGAAGUUACAAGAUGGUAGGUUGAUCAAUCAUCUGAGGUAGUAUAAACUAGCUAGUGACAAUAUUUCUCCACUGCACGAAUGUAUAAACCGAGUUCAUCAAUCAGCACGCAGUAAUUCACCUCACCCUGUCAUCCAUGUUGAGUCCAAAUCCCCAUUAUCAUCUUUAACAAGUCAGAAAGAAAUCAUCUCAUUUAUGACCGAUCCAACUGGAUCGAGCAACGAGACCUACAUCCAACUAUUAUACUACCGAUGAUAAUGUUAUCAAAUUCCAGCAACAUAAGUAGACAUUACCUCGUGGGGAUUAUUCUCCACGGAGACGAUUAGGGAGACACCGCGCGUAUCUGCGCCCCAAAUCAAACGCACUUAAAGCGUUUUGUGAAGGAGCAUGUGGGGGAAGCUAGCAAUAAUCAAGGCACAGCUAAUGCUGCUUCCCAUUGAAAAAUUAAUGCGACUUGGUAAAGUAUUAAGCAUAUGAUUCUGCACAUUUCUGCGUAAUACAUCCACGUCGAGAGUGAGUGGCACAGCUGCUGCUAGCUACACAGCAAGCAGAGUAGUAUAUAUGCCUUGAUCGAUCUGCCUGUGUGUGUGGUUUAGAUUCUCGUACGCGUGUACUCACUCGCGCGCGGAGAGCGAGAUCAUCACUGAAUCAGCUCGCUAUCUCAGCUAUACUGGGGUGCAACUAAGUGAGCUAAUGAUUGGGCCUUUGCCGCCACAUUGUGCAAACAAGUAGUGUAAACGAUCACGCUAUUGCACACGUCGGUUCACGUUUCGUCCCGAGUUUAAUGCCCACGGUGUUUAGUACUACCCCUUUCCAAAAUGUAUGAUGCCGUUUAUUUUUCGUACAACAUAAGCAUAGUACCUACGAAAUAUCAUAUUUGGUAUCAAAGGUAUUAGAUCCGGUACCUAUAAUAUCAUACACAUUAACUAUGGAUAAAAACAGUAUGGAAACUUUCUGGAUUCCGAACCUAUUUUCGAAAACAGUAUCUGUCGGUCAUAAUUUUUCGGAAACGGAAACGGAAACGAAUUCGGAAAUAUUUUAUCGGAAACGGAAUCGAAUAUGAUAAUGGCAGUUUUCGUCGGAACUCGGAAUCGGUCGGAAAAUUUCUUGGAAUUUCCGGAAUUAAGAAGGCCCAUACCGUAGUCUAUAAUUCCUCCCCAGCCUAUCCCAAUUCAGCAUACUAAUUCCAAGUCACUCAAUUCAGCCCAACCCAAUACACCCAAUUCAAACUUAAGAAUUGGACUUGACAUGAUUGUGUUUUGUGAUAUAAUGUUAAAAUAUGAGACUUGAGAAUUAGAUUUGAUAUAGUUUAAAGCUUAGUUUGAGGGGUUUUUUAUUCCGAUAAAUUUUUGUUACUAUAUCAGCGCCGGUCUGUUUUCGCUCUGUUUUCGUUUUCGACAAUAUUUGAUUCUGUUUUUUAUCCGGGGUUUCCAAUUCUGAAAAAAUAUGAAAACAAAAACGAUAAAGGUGGUCUGUUUUCGUACCAUUUUCAUCCCUAAUAUUAACUAUUUCAUUGUCUAUGUAUUUUCGGAAUUGAGGUCCACACAAACAAGAGUCGUGUCUGAUGUGCCCAGCGCAUGACCGGCAGUCCAUUAUCGACUCCUCUAAGUUAAUCUAACCUUUUUCUUUUGAAACAGUUAAUCUAAGCUUUCAGUACAAGUAGCUAGGUGCCUCAACCCUUCUAUUUUUUGUCAUUUCUAUCUUUAUGAGGAGCUGUCACCCCAACCACUUUGAUGCUCUCAAAAGAACAGAUAAUAGAGUGGCCUGUUCCAACGAGCAAAACAGCAGCGGCUAGCAUCAGUCUCACCUCGGCUAGCUAGCAAGGCACAUUCCCUAAAGACACUUUAUGAGGAGCUGGAGAUGAUUCCAACGCUAUCUAUCUGAAGUUUUGAUCUGUGAUAUUUCAGCAAUUUUGUGUAAUCAUAUUUGCUCACGCUAAAGGGUAAAUUAAUUGUGGUUGAAUAUUCAGUUUAGUUUAAGGAUUGGAAUAUUCUAAACUAGCUAUUGUAGAGGGCAGUACUAAUCGACAUCAGGGACAAUCUUGGUCAUCUCUGGUAAACGAUGAAUGUCCUAAGUCAAGUGCUACAGGAAAAUCACUACAACACCAAAAGACUCGACAAUACCAAAAGAGUAUAGAAUUUCAAACAAAGGUUUCCAAGCUUUUAGAUCCAUUGAUCGGUUCUAGAGCCUAGCCACCUUAGGGCAUGUUCAGAUUAAUAUCAUUUUAAAUCAUUACAUUAUUUGAUAAAGUUGAUAAAUAUAUGGUUGCAUUUAGUUUGUUAUCAAACAUUGAUAAUGCAUAGAAAAUUUUGGCAACAAUACAUUUAAACUAUUCUAUAAAAUCUUGACAAUGCUACCAAUUUACCGAAAUUUUGGAAUUAGCAACUUUUGAAAAUGUUAAUUUUGAUAGUAAUCUGAACAGAUCAUUAGUUUAAAAAAUGUCCUUUAUACGAAAGCACUUUCUUCAUGAUGGCUCAAUCCUCUUCAUGUGUAGACAUAGGUCAAUUGCAUCAGUGGUAGCUCCAUAGAAGCCGUUCUUCCUUGCCCCUCUAGAUGUGAGGAAUUCGCAAUCAAGGAACACUGAGUGAAUAACCUCUAUGCCCAACAUCGCUAGCACUGGAUAAUGUUACAUACAUCCUCGUUCACCUCGUC
Non-coding RNA from Oryza sativa Japonica Group (Japanese rice), 4291 nucleotides. Lineage: Eukaryota; Viridiplantae; Streptophyta; Magnoliopsida; Poales; Poaceae. The record is from RefSeq and is a predicted model, not a curated record.